GGCUGACUGGCUCAGUUGGAUAGAGCGUCGUAAUAAUAACCGAAGGUCUUCGGUUCGAAUCCGAGGUCGGCCA
RNAcentral lists this transfer RNA (73 nucleotides) under Galerina marginata CBS 339.88. RNAcentral's name for it is "tRNA-Leu (TAA) (tRNA-Leu-TAA-3-1)". It matches the Rfam family "tRNA". Rfam says of the family: Transfer RNA (tRNA) molecules are approximately 80 nucleotides in length. Their secondary structure includes four short double-helical elements and three loops (D, anti-codon, and T loops). The record is from Rfam by way of RNAcentral. Lineage: Eukaryota; Fungi; Basidiomycota; Agaricomycetes; Agaricales; Galerinaceae.